GACGAACGCUGGCGGCGUGCUUAACACAUGCAAGUCGUACGGUAAGGCCCUUUCGGGGGUACACGAGUGGCGAACGGGUGAGUAACACGUGAGUAACCUGCCCACAACUUUGGGAUAACGCUAGGAAACUGGUGCUAAUACUGGAUAUGUGCUCCUGCUGCAUGGUGGGGGUUGGAAAGCUCCGGCGGUUGUGGAUGGACUCGCGGCCUAUCAGCUUGUUGGUGGGGUAGUGGCCUACCAAGGCGGCGACGGGUAGCCGGCCUGAGAGGGUGACCGGCCACAUUGGGACUGAGAUACGGCCCAGACUCCUACGGGAGGCAGCAGUGGGAAUAUUGCACAAUGGGCGCAAGCCUGAUGCAGCAACGCCGCGUGCGGGAUGACGGCCUUCGGGUUGUAAACCGCUUUCAGCAGGGACGAAGCUUUUUGUGACGGUACCUGCAGAAGAAGCACCGGCUAACUACGU
RNAcentral lists this ribosomal RNA (463 nucleotides) under uncultured bacterium. Its description in RNAcentral is "partial 16S ribosomal RNA". It matches the Rfam family "Bacterial small subunit ribosomal RNA", at positions 28 to 506 of the family's 1533-position model. The record is from RNAcentral.